This 271-nucleotide long non-coding RNA is filed under the name Prunus persica (peach). RNAcentral's name for it is "long non-coding RNA (PPER_LNC008743)". The record is from RNAcentral. Lineage: Eukaryota; Viridiplantae; Streptophyta; Magnoliopsida; Rosales; Rosaceae.
AGAUAUAUAGGCCUUUUACACUAUAACUUACCGGUAAGAUAUGGUGUUUUCAUAAAAACAGGCUCUUUACUCAGUAAAAUACGGGUACGAUGUUGCAUUUUCUGAUAUAUCGGCAUUUUACACUAUAACGUACCGGCAAGAUAUGGUGUUUGAGAAAAAUAAGUUAUUUACUCCACAAAUUGCGGGUAAGAUGUUGCAUUCUCAGAUAUAUAGGCCUUGUACACUAUAACUUACCGGUAAGAUAUUGCGUCUUGAGAAAAAUAAGUUAUUU